UACGUAGGGUGCAAGCGUUGUCCGGAAUUAUUGGGCGUAAAGAGCUCGUAGGCGGUCUGUCACGUCGGCUGUGAAAUCCCGAGGCUCAACCUCGGGUCUGCAGUCGAUACGGGCAAACUAGAGUAUUGCAGGGGAGACUGGAAUUCCUGGUGUAGCGGUGAAAUGCGCAGAUAUCAGGAGGAACACCGGUGGCGAAGGCGGGUCUCUGGGCAAUAACUGACGCUGAGGAACGAAAGCGUGGGGAGCGAACAGG
This 253-nucleotide ribosomal RNA is filed under the name uncultured bacterium. RNAcentral's name for it is "partial 16S ribosomal RNA". It matches the Rfam family "Bacterial small subunit ribosomal RNA", at positions 524 to 776 of the family's 1533-position model. The record is from RNAcentral.